Amphiprion ocellaris (clown anemonefish) is the source of this 4441-nucleotide long non-coding RNA. NCBI's taxonomy places the organism in Eukaryota, Metazoa, Chordata, Actinopteri, Pomacentridae. The record is from Ensembl.
GGAUUUUAGUUUUUUUCUUUUUAUGUAUAACGGGGCAUGCCAAGUCACAGCAUUCUGGUACGUCGCGACAAAAAGUACAGCAAGACACGUUGAAAAUGAAUGUAUUCACACACGCACACACACACACACACAGACACACACAGACACACAGACACAGACACAGACACACACACACACACACAGACAGACAGACACACACACACACACACACACAGACACACACAGACACACAGACACACAGACACACACAGACACACAGACACACAGACACAGACACACACACAGACACACACACAGACACACAGACACACACAGACACACACAGACACACACACACACACACACACACACACACACACACACACACACACACACACACACACACACACACACACACACACACACACACACACACACACACACACACACACACACACACACACACACACACACACCUCUGUUUUUAUACAGACCAGAAUAAUUCAUAACUUCAUAUCAGCAUUAAGAAGUACCUACUGAGUGCAGAAAGCAACGUCCGGGUUCACGGUCGCGCUGCAGAACCAGAGUCAAGACAUUUAGAGUUUUAAAGCAGCUCGUAUCUGAUAAGAAGCUGUGUUAAUUAGUGGAAAACAUCCAAAAAAUUACUAAAUUUAACUGAGAGCUUUGACAUUUUACUCCAUGAAGUUUAACUGGUGCAACAAAGCUGCACUUUUUCAAACAUUUAAAUCAGAAAAAGUGUCGAAACAGUUGUAGAAAUUAGAAAUCUGUGCAUCAGACUGUUUUUUGUGUAAAAUAGAUCAAUGUAUACAUAUAUAAUGCAGAAAAUAACUACAAUGACAUCAUAAUUUACUGCUUCUAAUGAACAGAAAAUGCUGCUCCUGCCAAUAGAACAGCAUCAACAGUAACUCUGAUGAAUAAAGUGGCUGAAAUGUGACUGAAUGAAGCAGGAAGUGCUAAAUAUGUGAUGUUUUUUAUCAUAAUGAGCAGAUUUCUGGCUCUCUCUACGAUACAGGUGGAGCUGCAGCACUCAUCGAAUCACAGAUAAAGAUCUGAUGCACAUUUUAAUGCAUGUUUUUAAAGACGCAGCGAAAGAUGCAGCUAAAUGUUCCACUUCAGGAGUCCACUGACUGAUUCCUGACACGUUUUCAGCUCAACUGUCUGUAACAGAGGAACUGAUCUGCCGUUACGUGAAAGAGUAACGAGAUAAUCACAUUAUUUUCAGUGAAAUGUUGCUUUUUAAAGACUAUUACAGUCUAGGAGGCAGCGCAAUUAAAGCCAAAUAAAUGAUAUUCGAGCAUCUCAAAUGUGUUUGUCUUUCAUUAUAGUGAACUAAACAUCUGUAAGUUUUAGACACUUGGUCAGAAAAGCAGCAAAUUUGAGGCAUUAUUGGAUAAAUAAGUGCUCUGGGAAACUGUGACGGAUCAUUUUCUGCAUUUUUUGGACCAAUCAGUUAAUUAGAAAAACAAUCAGCAGAUGAGCUGAUAAAGGAAAUAAUCCAUAGCUGCAAAAAAAAUGAAAUUUGAUUUGACUUUAGUCUCCUUUUGUACUCUAGAAAUGACUGAUUUAUCUAGAAGAUGCAGAGAACCUUGUUUUACUGUAUUUGUUAUUAAUUAGGCCAAACAUGGACUAAAUGAUCAGAAUGAGAAAGAAAUGGAACCAAGUACGAGCUAAAUUAAUUAUCAUUUUUAAACAUUUUUACACCCUUCUCAUAAAGACAAUCAAAAUAUGAGAAUAUUGGCAUCAAAAUGAUUCAGAAAGUUAUUAAAAAACAGCUAAUUAACUCCCUGAAACAAUCCUUGGAUCACAUCAGAACGUUAAACAAUCUAAAUUCUGACUCUUGGCUGCAGAGUGAACGCGACCCGGCCGUCUUUAGUUUCUUCCUGCAACGUUACAGUUUUUAAAGUCCAUAUAAAACCAUUUACAUUUGGGGUAAAUGUCUCGAGUACAAAAAAGGCACUGCCAUUUGUUAUUCUAAAUAUGACUUUCCCAGCCUUGUGCAUGCAGUUUUUUAAAAUAUAAAUUACACUUAUUUUUUUUUGUCCUUCCUGGUUUUUCUUCGUUUCUUUUUUCGGCAUUUUUUCUUUUCGUUUUUGAGUUUUUUUCAUUUUUAUUAUUAAACAUACAAUAUUCUUUUUUUUGUCAAAUAUAUACGUAAGCCUGCAGUCAAUACAGGACAUCGGCUCUUUGAUAAAAUAAAACUAAAUGUAAAGUAAAAGGAGCACAGUCAAGCGGUAACACUUUGUUACAGAACUGCUGAAUUUACAAAAACAAACAAAAACAACAAAAAGAAGUCUUGGCAUCCCAUAUCGACAUAAACUGACUAAACUGCAGAAUCUAUGACAACAAAAAAAAAGAUACAAAACAGCAUAUAUGUCUCGACUUAAAGUACAUUAAAUGUUUUUGGAAUAUCAAGGCGUUUGUCUAACUGUUAAUACUGCAGUGUGCACGGCAUUAGAAGCACUCCCACAGAGCUGAUAUGCAUUCAGAACAAAUAGAAAAUUUAAAAAAACAACAAGCAUUUGGUUUUGAAGAGAUGUGUAAUGAUCCGACCUCAAAGCUGAAACCCUCCGCUGUCCCGUCACAGGUUCGAUCUGAGUUCAGGAGGCGAAUCUUUAGACGCUGCAGGACGUCGGCUUCUAAACACAACAAAUCCUGAAACUGAACUGUUCUGUCGCCUGGAAGAAUCACAUGAACUUGGGUUAUUUGAAUGCUGCCAGACAGUAUUUUAUAGAAAACAAAAGAAGGAGAUUUAGUUUAAAUCUCCUGAACUUUCCACUAACACUUUUAUGACUCAAAAAUGGCACAGCGAUAUGAACGUAAAUAAAAAAUACUGCACAAACACUAGUUUUGAUAAUCCCUUUGAUUAUGUUGCUUGACUGCAGGUUCUGAUACCUUUUCUGAAUAUAAAAAUACAGAAACGAGCCGUUAGUCGAUCCUAACAAGUAAAUAUGUGGCGUGUUCUUUAAAUACUGUAAACACGUCGUAGUUUACUUUGACUCCAUCCUGCUGCCACAAAUACCCACUAGAGCAGAAAACGUGUAUUAAACCUCAGCUGAAAAUAGUCUGUAACAGAUUCUCUCCUGUUUGAGUGACUUUUGUUGAAAACUACAGUAAAGUACUGCGAGUAACAUAUUAUUGAAUCAAGUCUUUUCAUGGGAUUCGUUAAAGAGCCCAUAUUCUGCACAUUUAAAGGUUUAUAAUUGUGUUUUUGUGGUCUACUAGAAUAUGUUAACAUGCUUUAAUGUUCAAAAAACACAUUAUUUUCCUCUUAAUGUACAUUUCUCUUCUUACCAUCUGUCUGAAACGCUUCAUUUCAGCUCCAGGCUCAAUAAGCAACGCCUCCUGAGGAGCAAAGUCUGCUCUGAUUGGUCAGCUGAGCCGACAAAAAACAGGAAGUGUUGAUUAGUAACCUCUGAGUACAGGGAUGUAGCUCGAAAGGAAGCAGCUCUAGUGAGGAAAAUAUACAAAGCAGAUGCCUUUUCUGUGUUUUGAGAACCAAAUUAGCCAUUUAGCUAGCAAAUGUGUUACACGAUGAUGUCAUUAAGUAACAUAAGAAAGGCCUGGGCUUCAAACGAGGUGUUUCAAUCAGGUAACGAGCAGAGCUUUCUGUGUUUAUUUUGGGCUUUCUAGGUUUGCAGACCUUUUACAUGCACAAAAAAGCUGAAAGAAAUAAGUAAAUCUAAACAUGGGCUUCAUUUCAGCUCCUGUGUCUUUAAGCCCCGCCUCCUGAAAAGCCACGUCUGCUAUGAUUGGUCAGUUGAACCUCAGCUCUCUGAAUAAGGGGAUGUAGCUCAAGCAGAAGCAGCUCUAGCGAAGAAAUAAUAGAAGACAGCUACCUUUUCUGUGUUUUGCAUGUCAAAUUAGCCACUUAGCUAGCAAAUGUGUUACACGAUGAUGUCAUUAAGUAACAUAAGAAACUCCUGGACUUAAAACGAGGCAUUUCAAGCAGGUAAGGAGCAGAGUUUUCUGUGUUUUCUUUGGGCUUUUUACGUUUGCUGACCUUUUACAUGCACAAAAAGGCUAAAGGAAUUAUGGAAAACGGAAUAUGGGCUCUUUAUCGUUUAGAAAAAAUAUAGAAUAAUGCCAAAUUUAUCCUUUAAAACAACAUAUACAUAAACCAAAGAGCUUCUCCCACACAGGACCAGUUAGGCCGUGAUAAACCAACAGCACUAAAUUCACAGUCCACAUCUCAAAUUCUAAUUUUACUGUAAAGCCCAGAAUGGACCGGUCUACUUCCUGAAAAGACUAACACGUCGCAGUUUUUUUUUUUGCUGACAGUUGAAUUUUGCAACCGAAUCUGUGACGGACCUGCUCUCCGACAGUCCAAAUGAAAAAUCUGAACAUGACACCGAUAGAUACAAACGAGAUUAUAGUUCAACAACAGCAACAACAAAAUAAAAGAAAAAAAACAGUCAGUCAACAAUAACUAUGUUAAUAUUUG